Molecule: ribosomal RNA, 452 nt
Filed under: uncultured bacterium
Lineage: Bacteria
Description: bacterial SSU rRNA
Rfam family: Bacterial small subunit ribosomal RNA
Source: RNAcentral
GAGCGAACGCUGGCGGCAGGCUUAACACAUGCAAGCCGAGCGGGCGUAGCAAUACGUCAGCGGCAGACGAGUGAGUAACACGUGGGAACGUACCUUUUGGUUCGGAACAACACAGGGAAACUUGUGCUAAUACCGGAUAAGCCCUUACGGGGAAAGAUUUAUCGCCAAAAGAUCGGCCCGCGUCUGAUUAGCUUGUUGGUGAGGUAACGGCUCACCAAGGCGACGAUCAGUAGCUGGCUGAGAGGAUGAUCAGCCACACUGGGACUGAGACACGGCCCAGACUCCUACGGGAGGCAGCAGUGGGGAAUAUUGGACAAUGGGCGAAGGCCUGAUCCAGCCAUGCCGCGUGAGUGAUGAAGGCCCUAGGGUUGUAAAGCUCUUUGUGCGGGAAGAUAAUGACGGUACCGCAAGAAUAACGCCCCGGCUAACUUCGUGCCAGCCGCCGCCGUAAU